GCCGGCAUAGCUCAGUUGGUAGAGCACCUGAUUUGUAAUCAGGGGGUCACGAGUUCGAAUCUUGUUGCCGGCACCA
Molecule: transfer RNA, 76 nt
Filed under: Magnetovibrio sp.
Lineage: Bacteria; Pseudomonadati; Pseudomonadota; Alphaproteobacteria; Rhodospirillales; Magnetovibrionaceae
Also listed under: 1 other name
Description: tRNA-Thr
Rfam family: tRNA
About the family: Transfer RNA (tRNA) molecules are approximately 80 nucleotides in length. Their secondary structure includes four short double-helical elements and three loops (D, anti-codon, and T loops).
Source: RNAcentral